This is a long non-coding RNA of Pseudophryne corroboree (corroboree frog), 1452 nucleotides long. RefSeq lists it as uncharacterized. The record is from RefSeq and is a predicted model, not a curated record. The transcript has 3 exons. Lineage: Eukaryota; Metazoa; Chordata; Amphibia; Anura; Myobatrachidae.
AAGUUUUGUGAUUCCAUUGAGUGGUUACAGAAAGGUGAACGACAAACUCACAUUUCCUUGACUACAAGUCUUGUGAAGAAUUUAAAUGUAAUAUUAAACUCGGAUGCUAGAACAGAGAAGUGACUGAAACACAAGCACUCCGUAUACAUAUACAAUGGCUGCAUUUACAUCGUGUGAGACAGAAAGCCCCAGAGAUGCCAGCCUGCAGUUUAUGGUACACCCCACUGCUUCUGUGCCUUCAGGAUGACAGCAUUAUCUAAUGCACAUGGACAGGGUCUCCACCAUCUUCAAAGAAAGCCUUGAAAUCAAUUCUAAGUAGUUACUAUUUAAAGAGAUUGCAACCAUCCAAAUUUUCUGUUGUCUUACUUUGUCCAGCACAGUAGAGCAUAUGUGUUGUACACAAUUUUAUAUUAUUUAUAUUUGACUGAGGUUUUUUUUAUGUUUUAUGUCAUUUCUGUUCUUGACCAUGCCUCAAUCCUAUACCAUCUCUAUAUAAUCACACACUGCCGUUAGGCCACACCCCUAAGCUACUUUAUAGUGAGAAGAUUAUCAAAAUAAGAUUACAUUUCUGGGUGAAAGAAAACAGAACAAUUGAACUUUAGUAAAUGAUGAGCUUGGAAAGGAGUCUUAGUAGUACCAUUGUAGAAUUGCAUAAAAUGAACUCUCUUGGGAAGCCAACCUUAUUGACCCAAUUGAUGAUGAGGGAUGGACAUCUAUUUGGUCCAGAAAUGCUAAAACCUCUAUAAGUGUAGCCAUAAGAGAGAAAUUCAUGCUGGAGACAAUGCAGCGGGACGGGUAUAUUUUUCCAUACUUGGUGGUCCUGUCCCAUUAUUAGCUCUUUUACUGGGAUCAAGUAUGGGAUCUGAUUUCAUGGCCCACAGGUCUGUCUCUGUCACAAGAUGCUUCUAUAGCACUCUUGAUUGCCCCAGUCCAAUUUGCUAGUAAAGACCAAUACAAACUAGUGGUCUAUUAUUGUAAUGCUGGCAAAUCCCUGAUAGCAAAGAAGUGGAGAUCUCCUGCAGCCCCAUUGGUGGCCCAUAGGGCCCAGGUUAAUUUUGUGGCCUCAAUGGAAUAUAUUUUGAGCAUAUAGAAUAAUGCUGUGACCACUUUUCACAAAGUCUGGUCCCUUACGGUGUCAGUUUCAAUCCUCACCUCUCCAUGAUCUCUGCUAGCCUCCUUUCCAUCUUUUUUUUCCUCCCCACCCCUUCUGUUUCAGUUUUUUUCUUUAUAUUUCAUAUGAUCUUUUUGGUUUUUUACUCAUCCCCCACCUUGCUUCUGCUUUAUAGUUUUUUUUUUUUAACACCUACCCUGGAUUGGCCCCUACUAAGUUCAUUCAACUUAUCCGCUAUGCUUAUGGACCUCUGGUGGUUUAUUUUCGCUAUACAGGUUUUUUACUGAUUUUUUUUGUGUGUGUGUAUCCCAUUUCACUUGUUAUUAUACCUAUGAUGUGUC